AGGGAUCAUUACCGAGUUUACAACUCCCAAACCCCUGUGAACAUACCACUUGUUGCCUCGGCGGAUCAGCCCGCUCCCGGUAAAACGGGACGGCCCGCCAGAGGACCCCUAAACUCUGUUUCUAUAUGUAACUUCUGAGUAAAACCAUAAAUAAAUCAAAACUUUCAACAACGGAUCUCUUGGUUCUGGCAUCGAUGAAGAACGCAGCAAAAUGCGAUAAGUAAUGUGAAUUGCAGAAUUCAGUGAAUCAUCGAAUCUUUGAACGCACAUUGCGCCCGCCAGUAUUCUGGCGGGCAUGCCUGUUCGAGCGUCAUUUCAACCCUCAAGCACAGCUUGGUGUUGGGACUCGCGUUAAUUCGCGUUCCCCAAAUUGAUUGGCGGUCACGUCGAGCUUCCAUAGCGUAGUAGUAAAACCCUCGUUACUGGUAAUCGUCGCGGCCACGCCGUUAAACCCCAACUUCUGAAUGUUGACCUCGGAUCAGGUAGGAAUACCCGCUGAACUUAA
This 505-nucleotide ribosomal RNA is filed under the name Fusarium oxysporum. Its description in RNAcentral is "eukaryotic LSU rRNA". The stretch from base 160 to 313 matches the Rfam family "5.8S ribosomal RNA". Lineage: Eukaryota; Fungi; Ascomycota; Sordariomycetes; Hypocreales; Nectriaceae. The record is from RNAcentral. RNAcentral also lists the same sequence under 3 other names.